This 301-nucleotide long non-coding RNA is filed under the name Fukomys damarensis (Damara mole-rat). RNAcentral's name for it is "lncRNA (ENSFDAG00000022435.1)". The record is from RNAcentral. Lineage: Eukaryota; Metazoa; Chordata; Mammalia; Rodentia; Bathyergidae.
CUGAGAAAAACAAUUGGGUGACAAUGAUGGUUAUUAUGAUGGUAAUGUUGGUAGUAACCAUUCAUGUAUGAACUGCUGUAUGCCAGCCUCCAAGUCAGUGCUGUAUACCGACUUACGCAUUUCACCCUUUUGAGGUCAUCCUCAUGCUCAGUUCAUGGAUGAAGAGACUGAACAUGAGGGAGCUUCCCUGGGGCCAUCGGUAGAGCUGAGAGUCCAACAGUGUGGCCCAGGAAUUUUCCAUUUGAUAUUUUCGGUUCACGGUGACUGGAGGAAGUUGAAACCUCAGAAAACUAAACCAUGA